GAUGAAGAACGUAGCGAAAUGCGAUACGUAAUGUGAAUUGCAGAAUUCAGUGAAUCAUCGAGUCUUUGAACGCACAUUGCGCCCCCUGGUAUUCCGGGGGGCAUGCCUGUCCGAGCGUCAUUGCUGCCCUCAAGCACGGCUUGUGUGUUGGGCCUCCGUCCUCCUCCCGGGGGACGGGCCCGAAAGGCAGCGGCGGCACCGCGUCCUGUCCUCGAGCGUAUGGGGCUUCGUCACCCGCUCUUGUAGGCCCGGCCGGCGCUUGCCGACACAUCAAUCUUUUUUCCAGGUUGACCUCGGAUCAGGUAGGGAUACCCGCUGAACUUAAGCAUAUCAAUAAGCGGAGGA
This 345-nucleotide unclassified non-coding RNA is filed under the name soil metagenome. Its description in RNAcentral is "partial contains 5.8S ribosomal RNA, internal transcribed spacer 2, and large subunit ribosomal RNA". The stretch from base 1 to 120 matches the Rfam family "5.8S ribosomal RNA", at positions 35 to 154 of the family's 154-position model. The record is from RNAcentral.